Molecule: ribosomal RNA, 996 nt
Filed under: uncultured bacterium
Lineage: Bacteria
Description: bacterial SSU rRNA
Rfam family: Bacterial small subunit ribosomal RNA
Source: RNAcentral
GGGGGAUAUUGCACAAUGGGGGAAACCCUGAUGCAGCGACGCCGCGUGGAGGAAGAAGGUUUUCGGAUUGUAAACUCCUGUCGUUAGGGACGAUAAUGACGGUACCUAACAAGAAAGCACCGGCUAACUACGUGCCAGCAGCCGCGGUAAAACGUAGGGUGCAAGCGUUGUCCGGAAUUACUGGGUGUAAAGGGAGCGCAGGCGGACCGGCAAGUUGGAAGUGAAAACUAUGGGCUCAACUCAUAAAUUGCUUUCAAAACUGCUGGCCUUGAGUAGUGCAGAGGUAGGUGGAAUUCCCGGUGUAGCGGUGGAAUGCGUAGAUAUCGGGAGGAACACCAGUGGCGAAGGCGACCUACUGGGCACCAACUGACGCUGAGGCUCGAAAGCAUGGGUAGCAAACAGGAUUAGAUACCCUGGUAGUCCAUGCCGUAAACGAUGAUUACUAGGUGUUGGAGGAUUGACCCCUUCAGUGCCGCAGUUAACACAAUAAGUAAUCCACCUGGGGAGUACGACCGCAAGGUUGAAACUCAAAGGAAUUGACGGGGGCCCGCACAAGCAGUGGAGUAUGUGGUUUAAUUCGAAGCAACGCGAAGAACCUUACCAGGUCUUGACAUCCGAUGCAUAGUGCAGAGAUGCAUGAAGUCCUUCGGGACAUCGAGACAGGUGGUGCAUGGUUGUCGUCAGCUCGUGUCGUGAGAUGUUGGGUUAAGUCCCGCAACGAGCGCAACCCUUAUUGCCAGUUACUACGCAAGAGGACUCUGGCGAGACUGCCGUUGACAAAACGGAGGAAGGUGGGGAUGACGUCAAAUCAUCAUGCCCUUUAUGACCUGGGCUACACACGUACUACAAUGGCGUUUAACAAAGAGAAGCAAGACCGCGGGGUGGAGCAAAACUCAAAAACAACGUCUCAGUUCAGAUUGCAGGCUGCAACUCGCCUGCAUGAAGUCGGAAUUGCUAGUAAUCGCGGAUCAGCAUGCCGCGGUGAAUACGUUCCCG